GUAGGUGGCAAGCGUUGUCCGGAAUUAUUGGGGCGUAAAGCGCGCGCAGGCGGUUCUUUAAGUCUGAUGUGAAAGCCCACGGGCUCAACCGUGGAGGGUCAUCGGAAACUGGAGAACUUGAGUACAGAAGAGGAAAGCGGAAUUCCACGUGUAGCGGUGAAAUGCGUAGAGAUGUGGAGGAACACCAGUGGCGAAGGCGGCUUUCUGGUCUGUAACUGACGCUGAGGCGCGAAAGCGUGGGGAGCAAACAGGAUUAGAUACCCUGGUAGUCCACGCCGUAAACGAUGAGUGCUAAGUGUUAGGGGGUUUCCGCCCCUUAGUGCUGCAGCUAACGCAUUAAGCACUCCGCCUGGGGAGUACGGCCGCAAAGGCUG
RNAcentral lists this ribosomal RNA (374 nucleotides) under uncultured organism. RNAcentral's name for it is "partial 16S ribosomal RNA". It matches the Rfam family "Bacterial small subunit ribosomal RNA", at positions 527 to 896 of the family's 1533-position model. The record is from RNAcentral.